Molecule: ribosomal RNA, 1439 nt
Filed under: Klebsiella pneumoniae
Lineage: Bacteria; Pseudomonadati; Pseudomonadota; Gammaproteobacteria; Enterobacterales; Enterobacteriaceae
Description: bacterial SSU rRNA
Rfam family: Bacterial small subunit ribosomal RNA
Source: RNAcentral
ACUUAAAUUGAAGAGUUUGAUCAUGGCUCAGAUUGAACGCUGGCGGCAGGCCUAACACAUGCAAGUCGAGCGGUAGCACAGAGAGCUUGCUCUCGGGUGACGAGCGGCGGACGGGUGAGUAAUGUCUGGGAAACUGCCUGAUGGANGGGGGAUAACUACUGGAAACGGUAGCUAAUACCGCAUAACGUCGCAAGACCAAAGUGGGGGACCUUCGGGCCUCAUGCCAUCAGAUGUGCCCAGAUGGGAUUAGCUAGUAGGUGGGGUAACGGCUCACCUAGGCGACGAUCCCUAGCUGGUCUGAGAGGAUGACCAGCCACACUGGAACUGAGACACGGUCCAGACUCCUNACGGGAGGCAGCAGUGGGGNAAUAUUGCACAAUGGGCGCAAGCCUGAUGCAGCCANUGCCGCGUNGUGUGAAGAAGGCCUUCGGGUUGUAAAGCACUUUCAGCGGGGAGGAAGGCGUUAAGGUUAAUAACCUUGGCGAUUGACGUUACCCGCAGAAGAAGCACCGGCUAACUCCGUGCCAGCAGCCGCGGUAAUACGGAGGGUGCAAGCGUUAAUCGGAAUUACUGGGCGUAAAGCGCACGCAGGCGGUCUGUCAAGUCGGAUGUGAAAUCCCCGGGCUNCAACCUGGGAACUGCAUUCGAAACUGGCAGGCNUANGAGUNCUUGUAGAGGGGGGUAGAAUUCCAGGUGUAGCGGUGAAAUGCGUAGAGAUCUGGAGGAAUACCGGUGGCGAAGGCGGCCCCCUGGACAAAGACUGANCGCUCAGGUGCNGAAAGCGUGGGGAGCAAACAGGAUUAGAUACCCUGGUAGUCCACGCCGUAAACGAUGUCGAUUUGGAGGUUGUGCCCUUGAGGCGUGGCUUCCGGAGCUAACGCGUUAAAUCGACCGCCUGGGGAGUACGGCCGCAAGGUUAAAACUCAAAUGAAUUGACGGGGGCCCGCACAAGCGGUGGAGCAUGUGGUUUAAUUCGAUGCAACGCGAAGAACCUUACCUGGUCUUGACAUCCACAGAACUUUCCAGAGAUGGAUUNGGUGCCUUCGGGAACUGUGAGACAGGUGCUGCAUGGCUGUCGUCAGCUCGUGUUGUGAAAUGUUGGGUUAAGUCCCGCAACGAGCGCAACCCUUAUCCUUUGUUGCCAGCGGUCCGGCCNGGGAACUCAAAGGAGACUGCCAGUGAUAAACUGGAGGAAGGUGGGGAUGACGUCNAAGUCAUCAUGGCCCUUACGACCAGGGCUACACACGUGCUACAAUGGCAUAUACAAAGAGAAGCGACCUCGNCGAGAGCAAGCGGACCUCAUAAAGUAUGUCGUAGUCCGGAUUGGAGUCUGCAACUCGACUCCAUGAAGUCGGAAUCGCUAGUAAUCGUAGAUCAGAAUGCUACGGUGAAUNACGUUCCCGGGCCUUGUACACACCGCCCGUCACACCAUGGGAGUG